CAUUAGAGUGUUCACCGCGGGCCCAUUCACUUUUCUGCCGCCGAAUACAUUAGCAUGGGAUAAUGGAAUAGGACCCUGUCCUCCUUUUUUCAGUUGGUUAAUUCAUGAGAGAGGAACAGGGUAAUGAUUAAUAGGGAUAGUUGGGGGCAUUAAUAUUUAAUUGUCAGAGGUGAAAUUCUUGGAUUUAUGAAAGAUUAACUUCUGCGAAAGCAUCUGCCAAGGAUGUUUUCAUUAAUCAAGAACGAAAGUUAGGGGAUCGAAGACGAUCAGAUACCGUCGUAGUCUUAACCAUAAACGAUGCCGACCAGCGAUUAGGAGACGUUGAAUACAAAACACCUCUAUAUAUAAUUCAGUAUAUGGCUAGCAAUGGCUGUAUAUUGUUUGUGUAUAGUUACGGUGAAUGACUCCCCUACAACCUUGUGAGAAAA
This 428-nucleotide ribosomal RNA is filed under the name Acanthamoeba sp. TW125. RNAcentral describes it as "SSU rRNA". The stretch from base 1 to 362 matches the Rfam family "Eukaryotic small subunit ribosomal RNA", at positions 764 to 1113 of the family's 1831-position model. Lineage: Eukaryota; Discosea; Longamoebia; Acanthamoebidae. The record is from RNAcentral.